Long non-coding RNA from Penaeus indicus, 471 nucleotides. RefSeq lists it as uncharacterized. The record is from RefSeq and is a predicted model, not a curated record. NCBI's taxonomy places the organism in Eukaryota, Metazoa, Arthropoda, Malacostraca, Decapoda, Penaeidae. The transcript has 2 exons.
GUAUAUCAUGUACUUCAUAUCAGCAGCUGGUAUAUCAUAUAUUUCGUUUAUCACGUAUUCUGUAACAAUACGGAGAGGCCUGUAUGGUAUAAAUUUAUCUUCUGUGUCAUAACCGCUGGGAAGGCGACGGCGAGUACCACCGGGUCAACACAUGGUCUGUAUCAGCCGUAAGAGCUGACCUGUCAAGAAACGUGUUUGUGUGAGGGGUCGUGCCAUAGGAAGUGGUGACGGCUCUUCAGAUGAUCGAUGCUGUGAGAUAGCAAGACCGCGACCUAACUAAUGUAUAACAUGUGAAGUAGAAUGUUACUUGGCGUCGUAGCCUGUGUAUGUUUAUAGUGUGAGGGCAGUUCGAGGGGAACCUCUGUGCCGUCGAGACGCCCAUACCAUUCUGGAAUCAGACCAAUAAGCUGAUAUUCUGACUGUUCCCGCAAUGCGUUUGACCGCUACUGAAUAAACCUUGAGCGAGUGCUA